AGAUGGCGACCGGCGCACGGGUGAGUAACACGUAUCCAACCUGCCGAUAACUCGGGGAUAGCCUUUCGAAAGAAAGAUUAAUACCCGAUGGUAUAAUCAGACCGCAUGGUCUUGUUAUUAAAGAAUUUCGGUUAUCGAUGGGGAUGCGUUCCAUUAGGCAGUUGGUGAAGUAACGGCUCACCAAACCUUCGAUGGAUAGGGGUUCUGAGAGGAAGGUCCCCCACAUUGGAACUGAGACACGGUCCAA
This 247-nucleotide ribosomal RNA is filed under the name uncultured bacterium. RNAcentral describes it as "partial 16S ribosomal RNA". It matches the Rfam family "Bacterial small subunit ribosomal RNA", at positions 86 to 334 of the family's 1533-position model. The record is from RNAcentral.